AUGCUAGAGCUGUGGUGCAAUCAGCAUGUCGAGUAUUUGACGAAAGGGCUCGAUGCCGAUCGACCUUGGUUAUUAUGCUAUUGGAUGGUUCAUGGACUCGCGUUGCUGGAUGAAACGCUUGGCGAUGACCUCGAGAACGAUAUUGUAGACUUCUUUUCUCGAUGCCAGGUCAAGCAUUCAGCGGCGACAUCAGAGGAGACAUCGUCACACGGAACCCCUUCUCUGGACAAGCAAAAGCUCUGGCCGCCAUGGAUGCCAAUGAGAUUCUCGACCAAGGUUCACCUGGGCCUGCAUCCUCCAAAAACAAGAUGCAUCCACCUAUCAAGAUACGAAAUCUACUCGCCAGGAGGAGCAUGA
RNAcentral lists this ribosomal RNA (357 nucleotides) under Triticum aestivum (bread wheat). Its description in RNAcentral is "partial small subunit ribosomal RNA". The record is from RNAcentral. Lineage: Eukaryota; Viridiplantae; Streptophyta; Magnoliopsida; Poales; Poaceae.